Vitis vinifera (wine grape) is the source of this 619-nucleotide long non-coding RNA. RefSeq lists it as uncharacterized. The record is from RefSeq and is a predicted model, not a curated record. NCBI's taxonomy places the organism in Eukaryota, Viridiplantae, Streptophyta, Magnoliopsida, Vitales, Vitaceae. The transcript is spliced from 3 exons.
AGCUUAUGCAUUUGCACCAUUUAUAUAUAUGAGUACUAAUGUUAUUUUAUAACUGAUCGAUUAGUGUCCAAGACAAGAAGGAGGGUUCAAAUGUGACUACUUUGUUAUGAGAUUCAUUAAAGAGAUAAUUUUUUAUCCUACAAUGAUUGCUUCAAAGUUUGGUGAUAAAAAAAACAUAUUAUCAAGUAGAAUUCAAUGAAAUUAGAGGAGAAUUGACUACUUUUGUGCUACAACUAAUCAUGAAUCAUGUUGAUGCAUCAUGAUCACCAUGCAUGGUAUACACUCUUAGGAGGGUGGAAUAGAGAAUAAAAAGAACAAAGAAGGCAACAAGAUUUUGGGUUUUUAAAUGCAGCUCGUAUGUCAUACAUUGUAGGACAUAAACGUUACUUUAAUUGGUAGUGAGAAUUUUAGAUUUUUAGAUGCUACUUUUAUGUCAUUUUAUAGUUAGUCGGUUUUAUGCUUAUGAAAUGAAGGUAUACAUGAAUCUUGGGAUGCUUAACAUUACUAGAUCAUGUUUUGGUAUGUAUUCACUCUUCUUUUUUAGUUUUGGUGGGUUUGAUAUAUUGGAUGUACUAUCUUUUUGUGAACAUUUGAUAUACAAAUAUUAUUAGAUGAUCAA